Molecule: RNA transcript, 1891 nt
Organism: Gymnodraco acuticeps
Lineage: Eukaryota; Metazoa; Chordata; Actinopteri; Perciformes; Bathydraconidae
Exons: 9
Source: RefSeq, a predicted model, not a curated record
AGAGAGAACGAACAAGAGGAAAGAAAGUUCAUUUAAGUGGAGAAAGAUAUAAGAAGAUGUACUGUCCAUUCUGUGGUUCCAGCGUGACAUCUUCGCAUGGCUUUUGUGGUGUCUGUGGCAGAGACAUCACAUUUCUAAAAGAUGUGGCUAACAAAGUCCCUGAGGAGAUGCCCACCACUAGUGCGCAUCUAAGUGCACAGCCUAGCACCAGUGCAGCAGGAAGCUCAGCUGUAGAGUCCUUUCAGAAAUAUAGGGAAAUAAAAAAGAGGGAGAGACCUUUUUUACAAAGGGACGGCAUAACUCCAAAAAUAAACAGAAAUUGAUUUCUGUUGGAGUAAUGAGGAGGAUGGAUGGCUGCCUUAAACCUUUGAGAGGGAGGUCACUUCCCCUUAAUGUCGAACCUCAAUGGGCAUGUGAAGAACUGUUGGCUGCUGCCAUAAAAAAGCAGAAAGCCUUUAACCAGGACUUGGAAGAUGGUGCCCAUGUCUUGUUGUACCCUGAUGCGAGGGUGAUAACAAAUAUCCCCGGAACGGACACCCCUUUCACAGUACAGAUGUACAAAGAGGCCAUUGGAAAGCCCUACCAACGAAUUACGUUGUACAUCUGUACUCUUGAAGCCGUUGAAAACAGUUGUUACACUGGAACAACCUCUUCAAGUGACGAGGACAGUGUGGUUUUUGCAAAGUUGCCAUCUGGAGACAGUCUUGCUGACACCGUGGUCAGUUUGGAUCUAUCGUGGCAUUUAUUCUUAAUUAAAGUGAAUUUAUUUUAUUUCAGUCAGUCAUUUGUGUGUUGUAUGCAGGUGUGGGACUUUCCAAAUGAACAGAGCACUCCCAGAAUGGACAACAGUUUGCCAGGGUCAAAUAAAACAUUGUCAACAUGUUAUUUUGUGCCACAAGAAGCAGAAUGUUUUAACAGUACAGUAGUUUGAAUAUAUUUUUUGUUUACCUUUAUCAGACCUCUCAGGCACCCACAACCAGCGUCUGAUCGGUAGGAUGGAGAACCAACCCCAUUCCAGGAAGAGGUCCAGUCUGCCCCGGGUCAGAACACCUUCUAUAGGUAAACGAUGUUGACAGUUGCAUCGUGACACAGUUGUUUGCAACUACACAACUGUGUAUGCACUUAUCAUUAUUGACAGCCAGUCUGAGCCAGAAGAGGAAACGGAGCAAACUGCAGAGGAAAUCACAGAAUACCUGACUGCGCCAGACAUUGUUGCAGAACUCUCUGCAAAAAUUAAAAAUACCUCUUGCAGCAGGUUCAAUAUUAAUAGAGCCAAUGUGUGGGAUGGAGCAAUCCGCGGCUUCAAAGGGGCCUCAUUCGACCCCUCUCAUCAGAUGCAGGUUAAGUUUACUGACGAUGAGGGACAAACUGAGGAUGGAGUGGACACUGGUGGUCCCAAGCGUGAGUUCCUGACCCUCCUAAUGGAAUGCCUGAGAAUGAGAAGAAUAUUUGAUGGUCCACAGGACAGGAAAUUCCUCAAGUUCGACAAUGCAGCUGCAAAAGAUGACGAAUACUUUCAUGCUGGGAGGAUGAUUGCAACUUCUAUAGUUCAAAAACACAAGGAGAAAAAGAAGAAAACAUCAUGUCAUGGCUCACUGUCUCAAAAUCUGAUUCUAAAUGUAUAAUGUUCUUUAUAAAGAUAUAACUAAUACACAAUUAUGAAUGUAUAAUAUAAGCUGUUUUGUGUAUUUAAUCAUGCGUUGGUCUACAAUUUAAUGAUGGCUUCUACAUAUUUCACAUAAACAGACAAUGAAAAAAUGUGUCCUUCAUGCUGAUAACUAGUGUAUGCAUCUGCCAAUUAGCAUUCUAAACAGAGCAGUGUGUUGAAUCCUUAUUUCUUGCAUUUGAAACAGAUACAAUACAAAAAGUGAACUUACUGUUGUGUUCAACU